UGCUCAUCGAGACCGGCUGAGGGAAAAGGCCCUUGGACGCCGGGGCAACCUGCGGCCCGCCGUAAGGUGCCAACUCCUUCGGGACCCCUCCCCGGGUCGCGGCAGAUGAGAG
This 112-nucleotide non-coding RNA is filed under the name Brevundimonas sp. Root1279. Its description in RNAcentral is "SAM riboswitch aptamer (S box leader)". It matches the Rfam family "SAM riboswitch aptamer (S box leader)". Rfam says of the family: The SAM riboswitch is found upstream of a number of genes which code for proteins involved in methionine or cysteine biosynthesis in Gram-positive bacteria. The SAM riboswitch acts at the level of transcription termination control. RNAcentral also lists the same sequence under 1 other name. The record is from Rfam by way of RNAcentral. Lineage: Bacteria; Pseudomonadati; Pseudomonadota; Alphaproteobacteria; Caulobacterales; Caulobacteraceae.